UGUGACCUUUGUUCUCUUUCCCUCCCUCCCAAAUAAACCUUCCUUCACCCGUCCAAACAGAGCUUAAACAGCGACCGGCUCUGCUGGUUGGCCGGUCUGAGGAUGAUCCGGUGGAUCGCAGGAACGCAGGAUCCCGGAGGACGGGAAGCGGAGAAUCCGUAGAACUAUCAGGAGGCAGCGUCGACGGAUGGUGCGGGGUAGGGUCUCGUAGCGACGCGCCGUAGUAAAAGGACAGGGAACUCGGCCUCCGCCUUGUCAAAGCUGGUGUGAUUGUUUUGCCCCAAUUUUUCUUUCUCCACUCGAUUCCUUCAUCUUCUUGAUCGGAAAGCUGUAGGUUUUGUCGGCAGAUAGUAAUUGAAGGGGCUCUCAUUGGGAUUGUCGAGCGUUUCUGUGUUUUUUUAAGAGAAAAGAUUUCUGGUCGAGGAUUUGAGCUCUCAGAGUAAAAACUUCCGCGAGUUCCGUCUAUUCGCGUUCCUUGCCUCGGAUCUAUUGACUGUUGUUCGGCUGGGAAUUAUUGCAAAGGCGACACCUUGCUUGCGCGUGCAGCGCUAUCAGUGAAUCCGGAGGCGGCAAAAAUGAAGAACAUUUGCGACGCCAGAGGGCGUUAAAGGACAAAGCUGCACCCGUCUCAACUCUCAAGGGAAGCAGAGAAAAGAAGAAGAGGUGUUUCUAUCAGCAUUUCUAGGUUUCCUUUUCAGUUUUUGCUAGGAAAAAACCCGUCGAAAUUGGCGACAAGGAGGAAGUCCAAACGGUAGCAGUUCAGAUGCUAUUUUAGGAAGCUGCCGCAUUCUUAUGGAGUAAUCUGGGUCCGAUUUGAUGUUUGUUAGGAAUUUCUGUGUGACUGUAGUUUCUUGAGCUGCUCCGCCGUUAAUGCGACGGUAAUCAAUAGAAAUUUUAGGUUGGUUUCAUGGCUUUGGCUCCUCCAAAUAGUUCAUCUGCAGUUGUUGACUCAGGGACUUAUAGAGAUGUCUUAUACCCAGAACUAUGGAAAGCAUGUGCUGGACCUUUAGUUACUCUCCCAUGUGAAGGAGAAAGGGUUUAUUACUUUCCUCAAGGUCACAUGGAGCAGGGUUUACAUGUGUAGAAUCUGUUAACCCGCACUGUUAUUAAUGAUGGGCUGCUAAUGGAUGCGGGUGUACCAUAUAUAGAGUUUGAUCCCCGUUGGAUUAGGGAUCCUGACAGAACUCUACGCUUCCCAUUAGUGAAGAGUUUAUGACGCCGUCACUCUAGUUCUUUCGGAAGACCAGCCCUCUCUUCUUCUUCCCAAGGAUCGCCAUAUUUUGAGGACGACAUGAAGAACAAUGACAAUUCCGCUACAUUUAGCUAUAAGCAUCAACAAAUCAAGGACAUGACCGGCAAAUGCCCUUGUUUGAUCUGCCAUCAAAAAAAAAAAAUGAUGAACCCGGCUAGUCCUGGGGUUGACCGGCCCGGCCCCAUGGAAUUUUCCCACCGGCCUUAAUCUGCCAUCAAAGAUCCCAUGCAAGGUAGUUCACGUUCAACUUCAGGCUGAAGCAGAUACAGAUGAAGUUUUUGCUCAGAUCAUGCUGCUGCCUGAAAGUCUCCCUCACCAGCUUUCUCCUCCUAGAUGUAGCCUAUAAUACAACCAUGUGCUUGUAAUGAUUUUGACUCGAGGAGUUAUAUGAAAAGUUGCUGACUUAUUAGCUGCCCGCCAUAUUUUCUGUUAGCUCUUCUGACAACCGGUUGGAGUGUUUUUGUGAGCUCAAAGAGAUAGGGAGCCAUUGAUGCAUUUAUCCUUUUAAGAGGUGAAAAUGAUGAGCUUCUAGUCACAGUGAUUAGGCUUAUGCGACCCUAUUAAUAGCAUGCCAUCAUCAGUCAUUUCCAGUCAUAGUAUGCAUGUUGGAGUUCUUGCUACUGCAUCUCAUGCUAUUUCGACUGGGACUCUGUUUUCUGUUUUUAACAAGCCAAGGGCCGCAUAGCGAAAAAGAGAUUCAUACACAUUCAGCAUCAAAGCCUUGUUCAAUUGAACCAUCAUCUGCUAACGGCCUUAAGUACUGGUCAACAACUAGAAUCAACUGAAUUGAUUCAUUCUUGUCUGGCGGUAAGGAUGAACAUAGUGAAAGGAAGCGAGAGAGUAGGUCUGGCUGUAGGCUGUUUGGUGUCCAACUAGUCGAGAGCUUUGUCGAGGAAAUUUCUGUACCAACUGACAUUUCUUCUGUUAGAGAGGAAUAUAACCAGUGAUGUCUUUGGAUGCGGAAUUAGAUCGACAAUCUCAACCAUCAAACUUUAAUAGGUCUGACACACGUGUGUCUUGCUUGAGGUCAACUCAAGAAUCACAAAAUCAGCAAUUGAGGAGCUGUACCAAGGUUCACAUGCAAGGAAUGACAGUUGGGAUUUGGGAGGGCAGUGAGCUUGACUAUAUUAAAUGGAUAUAACGAUCUUUUUCUGAAGCUAGAAGAGAUGUUCAACAUUAAGGGAGAGCUCUUCGGCAAAGUAAAAAAGUGGGAGGUCGUCUACCCUGAUGAAGAGGAGGAUACGUUGAUGGUCAGUGAUGAUCCAUGUCAGUAAGGCUCUUAAAUAAUGAGAACGUUAAGAAGUGAGCUCAGCAGCAUGGUCAGAAAAAUACAUAUUUACACAUGAGAAGAGGCCAAAAGGCUGGUCCUGAAAGGUGAAGCUUCCUGCUUUCGGCGAGGAGAUCAAGCCUACAUCCAAAAUAUCCUUCCCCAAUGCCGACACCAAGCAUACCAAACUGGAAGAUCAAAUUUCUACUCUUAACAAGAUCACUGACCAUCUACUAGCUACAAAGCUAGUUCAUGAGUUGUUCUUCAUAGUAAGGUUAGCUGCUGGAUCGGCAUAUCGAGUACAAAAGGUGGUUCUAUUUGUUCUCUGGCCACUAACUGAUAGCCCUGCUGUGUUGCUAACAUAACCAGCCAGAAAGGAUGGCAGAUGGAGCUUUAGUCUAAACUCCCAUGCGUUGUCUAUGUAGGGUAUUUUCUUCUUAGUUAAUUAGGCUGGUCCUUGCAGGUGAGCUAAAGCUAAGCGACUCGCGGAAAUGUUAAGGCUAACUUUGUGUCUUUGUGGACAAUGUUAAGGCAUUGGAUAAGGGGCGAUCUAUCUACUUUCCUAGCUACCAAAUAGAUGUACAUAAUUAGGCAUCAGGUAGCUACUAUGUUUGUUAAACUAGUGCUUUCCUAGCUACCAAAUAGAUGUGCACAAUUAAGCUUUGUUUAUAAAACAAGAGACAUUUCUUUCAA
This is a long non-coding RNA of Zingiber officinale, 3212 nucleotides long. RefSeq lists it as uncharacterized. The transcript has 12 exons. NCBI's taxonomy places the organism in Eukaryota, Viridiplantae, Streptophyta, Magnoliopsida, Zingiberales, Zingiberaceae. The record is from RefSeq and is a predicted model, not a curated record.